Molecule: ribosomal RNA, 915 nt
Filed under: uncultured marine archaeon
Lineage: Archaea
Description: bacterial SSU rRNA
Rfam family: Archaeal small subunit ribosomal RNA
Source: RNAcentral
UUCCGGUUGAUCCUGCCGGAGGCUACCGCUAUUGGAGUUCGAUUAAGCCAUGCGAGUCGCGAGUCUUAGGGACUCGGCGUACCGCUCAGUAACACGUGGGUAACCUGCCCUAUGCUGGGGGAUAACCUCGGGAAACUGAGAAUAAUACCCCAUAGUUCACCACGCCUGGAACGGUGGGUGGACCAAAGCUCCGGCGGCAUAGGAUGGGCCUGCGGCGUAUCAGGUUGUAGGGGGUGUAAUGUACCCUCUAGCCCUCUACGCGUACGGGUGUUGAGAGACAUCGCCCGGAGAUGGAUUCUGAGACACGAAUCCAGACCCUACGGGGUGCAGCAGGCGCGAAAACUUGGCAAUGCGAGAAAUCGUGACCAGGGAACUCCAAGUGCAUCGGGUAAGACCGAUGCUUUUCUUGACUCUUCAAAGGUCUUGGAAUAAGGGGUGGGUAAGGACGGUGCCAGCCGCCGCGGUAAUACCGGCGCCCCAAGUGGUAGUCGCUUUUAUUGGGCCUAAAACGUCCGUAGCCGGUCUGGUACAUUCGUGGGUAAAUCAACCAGCUCAACUGGUUGAAUUCUGCGAGCACGGCCAGACUUGGGACCGGGAGAGGUGUGGGGUACUCUCAGGGUAGGGGUAAAAUCCUGUCAUCCUGAGGGGACCACCUGUUGCGAAGGCGCCACACUAGAACGGAUCCGACGGUCAGGGACGAAGCCUAGGGGCACGAACCGGAUUAGAUACCCGGGUAGUCCUAGGUGUAAACGCUGUGGACUUGAUGUUGGGGGCGCUCCGAGCGCACUCAGUGUCGAAGCGAAGGUGAUAAGUCCACUGCCUGGGGAGUACGGUCGCAAGGCUGAAACUUAAAGGAAUUGGCGGGGGAGCACCGCAACCUGAGGAUUGUGCGGUUUAAUUGGAUUCAACGCCGGA